GUCCACGCCGUAAACGAUGGAUACUAGCUGUUGGGGGCAACUUCAGUGGCUAAGCGAAAGUGAUAAGUAUCCCACCUGGGGAGUACGGGCGCAAGCCUGAAACUCAAAGGAAUUGACGGGGCCCGCACAAGCGGUGGAGCAUGUGGUUUAAUUCGAUGAUACGCGAGGAACCUUACCAAGGCUUAAAUGUAGACUGACCGGUUUGGAAACAGACCUUUCGCAAGACAGUUUACAAGGUGCUGCAUGGUUGUCGU
RNAcentral lists this ribosomal RNA (254 nucleotides) under uncultured bacterium. Its description in RNAcentral is "partial 16S ribosomal RNA". It matches the Rfam family "Bacterial small subunit ribosomal RNA", at positions 793 to 1055 of the family's 1533-position model. The record is from RNAcentral.